AGGGGAAUAGCUGGGUCAAAUGAUGGUUCCAUUCCCAUCUUUCCAAGGAAUCUCCAUACUGCUUUCCAAAUUGGCUGCACCAAUUUGCAGUCCCACCAGCAAU
Molecule: microRNA precursor, 103 nt
Filed under: Marmota monax (woodchuck)
Lineage: Eukaryota; Metazoa; Chordata; Mammalia; Rodentia; Sciuridae
Source: RNAcentral